AAUAUGUUUGACUUUUCGCCUAGUAAACUUUUUUUUAUUCUCCAGAGUUCGGUGGAAACAAGAAGAGAGGUCACAAUCCGUUGCCUGAUGGUGUAUCUGAAAGAGAAAGAGGAGGAUCUCUUCAGAGAACAGCUGGAUGGUGAAGAACAGUUCCCAGAAGAAGUGGUAAAGAUCAUAGUCACCAGACGUGCAGCAGUGUCUCUUCCAGCCGUCACUAAAAUUGUGACUGAAGGAACAGCUAUCCUGGAAGAUCUUGAUGUGUCCAGAGCAUGUGCCUUAAUGAUGGGACUUAUAUACGCUCUCAAUCUGAGCUACCCCAAACAAGUAAAGAACACUCUAGAGGUAUUCCAUAAGGUGUUUCUGGAACUUGAUGGGCUUAAAGCCAGCCCACGGGUAAUGUCUCUUAAGUACAAACUUCUGUCAUAAAA
Long non-coding RNA from Oreochromis niloticus (Nile tilapia), 428 nucleotides. RefSeq lists it as uncharacterized. The transcript is spliced from 2 exons. NCBI's taxonomy places the organism in Eukaryota, Metazoa, Chordata, Actinopteri, Cichliformes, Cichlidae. The record is from RefSeq and is a predicted model, not a curated record.